AGGAAUAUAUCCAAAGCAUCAUUGAAGGUGCAAGACAGAUACUAAAGAACGAGAUGACUGUAGCCAAAGUUUUAAAAAUCAAGAAAGAGAUCAAGGCAGACAUUGUCACAUGGGCUGAAAGGAAAAUUGUUGAAACAACUGUUCGUAAGGAAAAACUAGAGGUAAGACAUUGGACGAUAUCCCACCAAUGAAAGCCAUCAUGAUAUUUAGUGUGGAUAGUGACUAUAGAUUUUGUAAACAUGGCAGUUGUGUAGAUGGAACAAUCAGAAAUAAAUAAUAAACAAGCUAAAAAGCUACUUUUAUGCCAUGUCAAGAUAACUUUAUUUUAAAUCAAUAAUUGUUUAAAUUAAAACAAAUUUCUUGUGGCUCAUUUUUAAAAAGCCUGCAUUCAAAAAUUUAGUUGGAUAUAAAGAGCAGAAUAAAGUUGAAAAUGGAAGAAAAUACAAGCUCUCAAGAAAAGCUCGAGAGAAAGAAGGAUCUUAUGAAAGCAGUUCAUGAAGGUAAGAAGAGCGAGUGCCUUACUGUAGAUACCUGUCUCAAUACCAGUACAUACAGGCCUU
Long non-coding RNA from Saccostrea cuccullata (small rock oyster), 560 nucleotides. RefSeq lists it as uncharacterized. The record is from RefSeq and is a predicted model, not a curated record. Lineage: Eukaryota; Metazoa; Mollusca; Bivalvia; Ostreida; Ostreidae. The transcript is spliced from 3 exons.